UUCUGGUAAUGAAAAUGGGCUUUCAGCCCUUGCUCAAUAAUAAUAAUAAUAAUUAUUAUUAUUAUUAUUGAGCAAGGGCUGAAAGCCCAUUUUCAUUA
RNAcentral lists this microRNA precursor (98 nucleotides) under Oryza longistaminata (longstamen rice). Its description in RNAcentral is "pre miRNA mir-598". Lineage: Eukaryota; Viridiplantae; Streptophyta; Magnoliopsida; Poales; Poaceae. The record is from RNAcentral.